This 694-nucleotide long non-coding RNA is filed under the name Malus domestica (apple). RNAcentral's name for it is "long non-coding RNA (MDOM_LNC015108)". The record is from RNAcentral. Lineage: Eukaryota; Viridiplantae; Streptophyta; Magnoliopsida; Rosales; Rosaceae.
AUGCCUAUGCAUUCGAAGAUGACAUUGUAUACCGUUGGGCAAUCAACCACCAGGAAGUUAGUGGUAAUGGUAGCUAUGUAAGGACCUGUACCAAUGGUGAAAGGUAAGUGUAUGCUCCCCAAAGGUUGCAUGAUAUCACCGGAAAAGCUUAUCAGAGGGGAAAUCGAGCGGUCGAGCAAGUGUUCAGCUACAUUAAGUGCCUUGAAAGCUUCAGCAAACAUGAUAUUAACCGAAACCCCCAUGUCUACCAGGAUUCAUCAUACUUCAAAGUUGGCUAUGUGAGCUUCCACGAUCAGUGGGUCGUUGUGAGGGUAGAUGAUACCUCUUUCUUCCUCAGGGUAGAAAAAUAUUGGAUCCCAGUUGGGCUUUUGAUACUUACCUCCCUUGAUGUCUUCCACGUGAAACACUUGGUGGCCAGACCUUAAAGCUCGUUCACUAUUUUUCAUGGCCCUAUUGGAAGAUUUAGAUAUGGGUGUGCCACCACUUAUGGAAUAUAUCACAUUUACCUGGCGUUGGUUACGGUUACCCCUUGGAGGGUGAAGGAGGAAUUGAUCAAUUUUUCCUUCACGUGCCAAAGCUUCAAUAUGAUCACGAAUGGUGGUACACUUCUCGCCAUCAUGGCCAUUAUGCUCGUGGUAGUAGCAAAACGUGCCCGUGUUCUUCGUGGGCUUGUAUUCCGGGUGCUUCGGCUUUU